ACUCCAAGCUCUGUGAGUGCACGUCAUCAGAAGAAAGGAGAUGCAAACUUUUCAAGAGACUUCUAAACCAACAUCUCUUCAGUUUGGAUAACCCAGAAAACAGUAGGAGCAAAACAAAAAGAGCAAGAAGAUUCUGACUCUACUGGACCUGUAAGAUCACAGCAGUGGUUACAGUAUGACAAGGAACAUAGGAGACAACCAGAAACAAGUUUAAGGUCCUAGAACGAAGUGAGGUCUGUAACUAUGUGGGACAGAAGUGAAAACCAUUUCUACAGUUUUAAUCAUUUUGGUGCUUACCACCGAUAUAUAUGAGUGCUUCAUAAACAAUUCCUUUAUUGUCACGACACCUCUUUUGAGAGCAUUGCCUCUUUUUAUGAAGAGAGAACUGAGGAAC
Corvus hawaiiensis (hawaiian crow) is the source of this 394-nucleotide long non-coding RNA. RefSeq lists it as uncharacterized. NCBI's taxonomy places the organism in Eukaryota, Metazoa, Chordata, Aves, Passeriformes, Corvidae. The record is from RefSeq and is a predicted model, not a curated record. The transcript is spliced from 3 exons.